RNAcentral lists this long non-coding RNA (210 nucleotides) under Jatropha curcas. Its description in RNAcentral is "long non-coding RNA (JCUR_LNC003500)". Lineage: Eukaryota; Viridiplantae; Streptophyta; Magnoliopsida; Malpighiales; Euphorbiaceae. The record is from RNAcentral.
ACUUGGAAUCAGAGCCAUUUCUAAUUUGUAUAUCACUUAAGAAGAUUUGAUUGAUGUGUUUGCUGUCGAUUGUGGAAUGGUGAGAAUGGAAGGGAUAUUUAUCGGAAGCAGAAGAAGGAUUCUAGUAGUUUCUCUGGAAAUCUAAUUGGGCUUUCGUCGAGAAACUGUAUCUAGACAAGUCUCGAACCUUCAAUGAAGGGAUUUGGGCUU